GGGGAUGACAGGCUUCGACGGGAGAGGCUGGUCCCGGAAUGCGAGCCGAGAGGCGCCGAUCUCGUUAACUCAGCGCAAAACCUCAAGUGCCAACCGCACUUCCUAUGCUGCUAUGCCCCUCGCCGCCUAAGGUGAGAGCCUAACAGUACGGUCUUCUUAGCAAGACCGCGUCCACCUGCCCCGAUCUCCGCCAGGGACAGGCCCGGGCGAGACAAACGCGGAGCGCUGCACGCCACACCGCUACACGUGCAAAAGACAUAGCGGCUAGACAACAGGCGGUUCCUGCCGGACGAGAUGCCUGUUGCGACCACUUUCGACCGACUACGCUCGUAGAUUUCCGAGGGUCGAAUCUUUCGGACGCGGGUUCGAUUCCCGCCAUCUCCACUA
This 387-nucleotide transfer-messenger RNA is filed under the name Anaerolineales. RNAcentral describes it as "UBA7227 sp016234485 Standard tmRNA". It matches the Rfam family "transfer-messenger RNA". From Rfam's summary of the family: Bacterial tmRNA, also known as 10Sa RNA or SsrA, is named for its dual tRNA and mRNA-like properties. Its role is to liberate the mRNA from a stalled ribosome. RNAcentral also lists the same sequence under 1 other name. The record is from RNAcentral. Lineage: Bacteria; Bacillati; Chloroflexota; Anaerolineae.